GGGGGGGGGGGGGGGGGGGGGGGGGGGGGGGGGGGCGGGGGGGCGCGCCCCGGGUGGUGGGGGGGGGUGGGGUGGCGAGCGGGGGAGGAUCACGCGAGUAACCUGCCCCCUGCUCCUGGAUAACUGCUUGACAGGGCGGCUACUACGGGGUGGGCCGGCUGGUCCGCAUGGGCCUGGCCGGGAUAGUUUCAUCUUCGGGUGUUUCGGUGGGGGAUGGGCUCGCGGCCUAUCAGCUUGUGGGUGGGGUGAUGGCCCACCCAGGCGGUGACGGGUAGCCGGCCUGGGAGGGUGGGCGGCGAGACUGGGACGGAGACCCGGCGCAGACUCCUGCGGGAGGCAGCAGUGGGGGGUAUUGCACAAUGGGCGGAAGCCUGAUGCAGCGACGUCGCGUGAGGGAUGGAGGCCUUCGGGUUGUGAACCUCUUUCUCCGGUGGUGAAGGCCCUGUCCGUUGCGGCGGGGUUGACGGUAGCCGGGUAUGAAGCGCCGGCUAACUACGUG
Molecule: ribosomal RNA, 499 nt
Filed under: uncultured bacterium
Lineage: Bacteria
Description: partial 16S ribosomal RNA
Rfam family: Bacterial small subunit ribosomal RNA
Source: RNAcentral